This is a long non-coding RNA of Oncorhynchus tshawytscha (Chinook salmon), 2023 nucleotides long. The record is from Ensembl. NCBI's taxonomy places the organism in Eukaryota, Metazoa, Chordata, Actinopteri, Salmoniformes, Salmonidae.
GUGUUAGCUGGGGCUGAGGCAAAACUGUGACACCAAUCAAGACUGGAAAUUCCCACCCCCGCUUUAAAGCAACAUCAGAUUUUCAACGUUAUAUCCACUAUCAGCAAUAAAACAAUAGGCUGGGCAGAUCUCCUCCUGGAGAAUUGAUCUAUCUUUGGUUUCCCAUCCAAGGUGUUAACCAAGCCCAGCCCAGCGGUUGUACGAAGACUCAAAGCGUUUGAGGCGAAGGCUUGACUCAGGAGAAUGAAGAUGGACUACGCACUGUUGUACCCGGCCACAUUGAAGAUUAUGGUCAACGGAUCACCUAAAAAGCUCUACACACCUGAAGAGGCUGCUGCGUUUAUUGACACUCUCGGGUGGUCGAGAAAUAUCGACUCCCAAAGCAGGACUUUUUCCGCUUCCUACAAGCCACACCCUUCUGCUGCUAUUGGCUGGCAGGGACACUGUUGUUGUUUGCCCUGCUGAUGUGACUCCUUUCUCCCGGACGUGAUGGGGAUGCUGAUAUUCCAGUUCCCAACCUGAGCCUGGCACUCCCGACAGCUGACAAUAGGUUACAAGUGUUACCUCACGACAGGUGCAACACACAUCACAACAGGUGUGUUACCUAGGAAUAUGGUUUAUUCCUAGAUACGCCUUGCAUUGCUUGGCUGAUGGGAAAUGACACACACACACACACGACUUCCUCCUGAGAGAUGACGGACAUGGGCACAUGAGGAGUGGACACAGCUCUACGAGAGACACCGGAUUAUUUUAUGGUUGGACAGUGAGUUUUGAAUUUUAUUGACUUUACAACCUUUGAUGCAAGGAAGAGUGUAAUAAUUCAAAGUGAUGUAGCAGUAUAUUAGGCCCUACGUAGUAUAUACUUUCCUGCAGUCAAAUGACAAUCGCCCUCUAGUGGCCUCAUGAGUGGAAUGUUAUUAAUAUUUUUCAGAAUUAAACUUUUUUUUUUAUGCCAAAUUUGCUGUCAAAUGGUUGUUACAUUUCAGUCUUCUGUGAUGUAUAUGAAGUGUAAUAUUGGGAUGCAAACUCAAUGUAAUGCAUUUCAACUCUGUCUGACAUGGUACAGGUGUCUUAUUUUUUUCUAAUUCCAUAACCAUAUGUGUGAAGUUUAUACUUUUGAUUUAAAGCAGAUUUGUGCAGUACUAUAACGAAACACACUGUGACCCUGAUUUAGCCCACUGCAGUAUAAGGUUCAUGUUCAACAUAAUUAAAUAAGUGUAGGUUUUAAAAUGUCCUUAUUCAUUGAGGUGAGAGAAUUAGAAAUGUCAAGAUGUUUUGUAAUAAAUAAUUGAUGUGUAAUAUAAUUGGGAAAUAAUCAACAGUGCUCACUGUGAAAUCCUCAUUUCAAGCUCUGAGCUGCUUUCUGAGAGCUACUGUUCCUGACUCGUCCUCAAUCGGACUGUCACUAACAUUAAAAAAAGAACAAACUAGUUAUGUGAAAAGUCCUCCUCUCGUUUUGUCAAGUUGCCUCAACUGUGAAGCCAAGUCUUUAGGAGUCAGUUUCUUCCUGAUGCAAGUCAGACACCUUUUAUCUAGGCAUUGUACACAUGUUUUGAUACUGGGUAUUAAGGUAUUGUGUCAGGGUUUGGGUGUGUGUGUGUGUGUGUGUGUGUGUGUGUGUGUGUGUGUGUGUGACUGAAAGAAUAGGACACACACUGCAAGUCAGGCUGGGCUGAACUCAACUUGGUGGGGGGGGCUGGUCUUUUUCCCUUCCAGAGAAUCAACCACUACAUACACCACGACAGGGUGUAUGUACACAGUGACUCAGUUGAUUUCCCUCCUGGGCAGGUACAUUCCAGCUCACCUGAAGAGUCUUAUUGGAGUUCAUCACAUCUUAGAAUCUUAAUCAACUGGAGUUCCAUCCUGUUUCCCCUGCAAGUUACAGGAUGAGGCAGCUAACAAUAGAACCUUGCCCCCCCUUCCCCUGUGUUAAGCUUUAAAUUUCACCUGUCUAGAGCCAAUUUGAUUUCAGUCUUUGAGGUGUUUUUUUACUGAUUCUGUGUUUGGUAAUGAUGUUUGUCCC